GCUUAGCCACAAAACUUGGACAUUUACAUUAUCCCCCGCCAGAGUACUACGAGCAAUAGCUUAAAACUCAAGAGACUUGGCGGUGUCCUAAAUCCAUCCAGAGGAGCCUGUUCUAUAAUCGAUAAUCCACGUUCAACCUCACCACCAUUUGCCAGUUCAGCUUAUAUACCACCGUCGCCAGCAUACCUUAUUGAAAGCAUUAAAGUAAGCAAAAAUGACCACACAAACACGUCAGGUCAAGGUGUAGCAUAUAUGAUGGUAAGAAAUGGGCUACAUUUUUUUUUAAAAACCACGGAUAAUAAAAUGAAAUCAUAUUUUAAGACGGAUUUGACAGUAAGAAAAGAUCAUAAUGCUAUUCUUAAUUUGGCCCUAGGACGCGC
Molecule: ribosomal RNA, 380 nt
Filed under: Gegeneophis carnosus
Lineage: Eukaryota; Metazoa; Chordata; Amphibia; Gymnophiona; Indotyphlidae
Description: partial 12S ribosomal RNA
Rfam family: Bacterial small subunit ribosomal RNA
Source: RNAcentral